This 200-nucleotide ribosomal RNA is filed under the name uncultured bacterium. RNAcentral describes it as "partial 16S ribosomal RNA". It matches the Rfam family "Bacterial small subunit ribosomal RNA", at positions 30 to 230 of the family's 1533-position model. The record is from RNAcentral.
AUUGAACGCUGGCGGCAGGCUUAACACAUGCAAGUCGAGCGGGGAAGAGUAGCUUGCUACUUGACCUAGCGGCGGACGGGUGAGUAAUGCUUAGGAAUCUGCCUAUUAGUGGGGGACAACAUCUCGAAAGGGAUGCUAAUACCGCAUACGUCCUACGGGAGAAAGCAGGGGACCUUCGGGCCUUGCGCUAAUAGAUGAGC